This is a long non-coding RNA of Cervus elaphus (red deer), 241 nucleotides long. RefSeq lists it as uncharacterized. NCBI's taxonomy places the organism in Eukaryota, Metazoa, Chordata, Mammalia, Artiodactyla, Cervidae. The record is from RefSeq and is a predicted model, not a curated record. The transcript is spliced from 4 exons.
AUGGAGGCCAGCAGACUCUCCAAUAUGUGUGUUUCACGCUUGCAGCACAUCGCAUUGUAGAGCCAGCCGCAUUUCAGGAGUUGGGAACAUAUAAUGAAGAACUGAAGGUGUGCAGGGAGCAGCUUCUUGCCAGAGAAGAAGAAGUUGCUCAGCUGAGAGCAGAGAGGAACAACACCAGGCUGCUGCUGGAACACCUGGAGCUCCUCGUUUCCCGGUAUGUACCAUCCCUCCGGAUGACGGC